Molecule: ribosomal RNA, 503 nt
Filed under: uncultured bacterium
Lineage: Bacteria
Description: bacterial SSU rRNA
Rfam family: Bacterial small subunit ribosomal RNA
Source: RNAcentral
UCCUGGCUCAGGAUGAACGCUAGCUACAGGCUUAACACAUGCAAGUCGCGGGGUAACAUCUGGUAGAGCUUGCUCUUCCAGGAUGACGACCGGCGCACGGGUGAGUAACGCGUAUCCAACCUGGCCCAUACCACGGGAUAGCCCGUCGAAAGGCGGAUUAAUACCGUAUGCUGUCAUUAAGAUGCAUAUAUUGAUGACGAAAGGACUGGCGGUAUGGGAUGGGGAUGCGUCUGAUUAGCUUGUUGGCGGGGUAACGGCCCACCAAGGCGACGAUCAGUAGGGGUUCUGAGAGGAAGGUCCCCCACAUUGGAACUGAGACACGGUCCAAACUCCUACGGGAGGCAGCAGUGAGGAAUAUUGGUCAAUGGGCGCAAGCCUGAACCAGCCAAGUAGCGUGAGGGAAGACUGCCCUACGGGUUGUAAACCUCUUUUGUUUGGGAAUAAAGUGCGGGACGCGUCCCGCAUUGCAUGUACCAUUUGAAUAAGGACCGGCUAAUUCCGUG